GAACUCCACAGACUCUGCGAC
This 21-nucleotide microRNA is filed under the name Cordylochernes scorpioides. Lineage: Eukaryota; Metazoa; Arthropoda; Arachnida; Pseudoscorpiones; Chernetidae. The record is from RNAcentral.